RNAcentral lists this ribosomal RNA (2081 nucleotides) under Triticum aestivum (bread wheat). RNAcentral describes it as "partial small subunit ribosomal RNA". Lineage: Eukaryota; Viridiplantae; Streptophyta; Magnoliopsida; Poales; Poaceae. The record is from RNAcentral.
GUCGUCCAUCGUGGACGUGCGUGCGGGAGUGGGAACGCGGCGGAGGCGUUUGCGGCCGCGAGCGAGGAGUUCGGCGGCCGCUGAUCUGGUUGCUUGUAGUCGAACGCGGUUCGGCCGUGGGGGUUCGACGGGAGGCCGCUGAUCCGGACGUGCCGACGUAGGGCCAGACUGGUCGGUGCUGACGUUUCAGUCGUUGACGUUCCGUCGCAGCGUCCAGUCAAACCUCGACAUCUGUUUCAAAACCCUCGUCUAGCCUAGUUCCGACUCACUGUAGACCCAAAAAGCACCUGCGCAACCAACGACCAGGUACCAACCGUCGUACCCUUGAGGGAAGACUGUCGGGAGUUGUGACAGUCUUGUCCGUCAGGCGGUAGAAGAAGCAGAGGCCACCACCGCGGUGGCGGCCAAGACGGAGACGGUGGGGUCCUUGGUGACGGUGAUGGAGGGCUAGCUGGAGACGGUAGGGACCUCCCUCAUCGAAAAGAACAAAAAAUGGGUAAAGAACAGGUGAAACAAGACAACGAAUUGUCGGAGAAUGACUUUACAUCCCUUUCCGACGCAUGUUAUCUGGGUUUCACCAGCCUGGGAAGGGGCCUGGGACGCGUUUCGCCCUCGAUGGACGUGGCCCGACGGGAAAAAAAACAGUGGUACCGCACCCUCGAAUGGCUCCAGGGACCGUUAGGUUGAGGGGAGGUUGUAAGGUGCCAACUACACCACCGUCGCUUGUAACACGGGUUCCAUUGUUUACGAGAGUAGUCCGUUAACUUAGUUCAGACGGGUAAUCUCUUAGAUGCCGUACAGUUCGCCCACGCAGCCGCACAACACACACCGCUUUUAAGACUCAAUAGUUAGUAGAAUACGGAAAGGUUACCCGGACUGUUAACAUCACUUCCAAAAGGACUUCUUCAGGUUUUCUAUCACCUGUUGAUGGUAAACUCAGGAAAGUAACGUUUUCAACGGUCAACAAGACGAUGCAGCUUUCUCCUCACCCUCCUUGUCACGUUUGAAACCGGUUGUAGAAUAGUGGGGGGAUUGCUGUAACUACCACAUAGACCUAAAUUUCUCCUCCUUAAUGGUAGUUAUAAAGUAACGUACUCCUGACGAUACGUUAAUAGUGUCCACCCGUUACGACGGUAAUAACAACUAGGUAGUUCGUACGUUCAUUAAAGUUUCCGAUGUCUGGUUUGUGUGGUCGCACUAUGAACAGAUUUACCCUUGUUUACACGUUAUCAUCUUCGUCCAUUACGAUCGAGUAAGGGACUUCGUUAACUCCUAUUUCGGCUGUGAAGCAACGGUAGCUCAAGAGCAAAAACGUUACCGAACCUGUCCCUCCAGAAUACAUAUUUGGGAAAGCCUACCUACUUUGUUUCCACAUGCCUCGUCUUCUGUGACGGUAGACUUCCACCAAAAGAGACCGUAGGAGACACCGUACGACGUCAACAACGGUAACUUUUACGGCGGCUCUCCCUAUCUUCCUACAAGGGAAGAAGUUGAAGAAGUUGUUGGCUCGGUUUUAAUUUACCACUACAUCUCUUAACAAGACUACUACUUGGUCGUUUCGCCGAUUUCUAUCAAUGUUUACCACUUCUAGUUAGACGUGUAGGUCGUACGUCGUCCCUGAACGUACUUUCUUUGUCUGGUAUAGAAACGUGUCCUAAACUGUAGAUGGAACAAACCCUUGGUACGUGCUACACACGAUACCGCGAACAUGUAGUUUCCAAGUUCGCGCAGAAGAUACGAAAGGGAUUAGGGUAAUGACCUCGUGACCCGUCACAGAUGUCUAACGUGCCCGUCUUUUCGAACUUAGUGGUAAUGAGCCACAAAUCCUAUUUUCAAGGACUCCGUAUAAACUUACCAAGUUGACUGACAAGACUUUUUACCACGAGUUUAAGACAGAGUAGAAUCAUGUUUUUGAGGUCCUCGAAACAAGACGUCGUUGCCAUUGACGAUUUUACGGGUACUCGAACGUUCCUUUACGAUAAAUCGGGCUUAAAUCCACCACAUCUUUUAAUCGAUCAUGAGGACAAGUGACGUCGAACUGCAAACAAACAUACAAACUUUACCUUUUCUGAUAACAAAGG